This 67-nucleotide transfer RNA is filed under the name Pseudoglomeris magnifica. RNAcentral's name for it is "tRNA-Trp". Lineage: Eukaryota; Metazoa; Arthropoda; Insecta; Blattodea; Blaberidae. The record is from RNAcentral.
AAGGUUUUAAGUUAAAUUAAACUAAUAUCCUUCAAAGUUAUAAAUAAAGAUUCCUCUUUAAGCCUUA